UAGGGAAUCUUCGGCAAUGGGGGGAACCCUGACCGAGCAACGCCGCGUGAGUGAAGAAGGUUUUCGGAUCGUAAAGCUCUGUUGUUAAGGAAGAACGAGUGUGAGAAUGGAAAGUUCAUACUGUGACGGUACUUAACCAGAAAGGGACGGCUAACUACGUGCCAGCAGCCGCGGUAAUACGUAGGUCCCGAGCGUUGUCCGGAUUUAUUGGGCGUAAAGCGAGCGCAGGCGGUUAGAUAAGUCUGAAGUUAAAGGCAGUGGCUCAACCAUUGUAGGCUUUGGAAACUGUUUAACUUGAGUGCAGAAGGGGAGAGUGGAAUUCCAUGUGUAACGGUCAAAUGCGUAGAUAUAUGGAGGAACACCGGUGGCGAAAGCGGCUCUCUGGUCUGUAACUGACGCUGAGGCUCGAAAGCGUGGGGAGCGAACAGG
This 429-nucleotide ribosomal RNA is filed under the name Bacteroidota bacterium. Its description in RNAcentral is "Bacteroidetes bacterium partial 16S ribosomal RNA". It matches the Rfam family "Bacterial small subunit ribosomal RNA", at positions 355 to 776 of the family's 1533-position model. Lineage: Bacteria; Pseudomonadati; Bacteroidota. The record is from RNAcentral.